UGAUGCCCUUAUCAGUUGUUCCGUCUAGAUACUGUGCUCCUGAAUCAAAGAGAUAGAUGCUAUCGGCAUCAAGUUCGGAACAUGUUUUAGCCUCUGGAGCAUAAUGAAUAACUGCUGCAUUUGGGCCAACUGAUGAAAUGGUAGGAAAACUCAAGCCUUUAAAGUACUCUUGCUUGGCUCGAAAACCUUCUAAUUUGUCACUAACAGAUACCUCUGUUAGCUUCAGAGUUUCCACAUG
Molecule: unclassified non-coding RNA, 238 nt
Filed under: Hevea brasiliensis (rubber tree)
Lineage: Eukaryota; Viridiplantae; Streptophyta; Magnoliopsida; Malpighiales; Euphorbiaceae
Source: RNAcentral